AAAAAAAAAAAAAGAAGAAAAUCUAAGUGAAAACUGAAGCCAGCUGGAAAGCAGCUUCUACUUAUCCAGAUGAAGCCAGCAGAAGUAACAAGGGAGCCUUCGGUGACCUGGGCCACCGUUCCCACUGGCCUGGUGCUGGCCGGGGGGCUGCAGGAUUUUAAGGCCCUGCCGGCCUGAGGCCCCGUCUCCUCCUUGUAUCUUAUCCUCCCAUGAGAAGGCAGUGAGACAGAUGUCUUCACAGCGCCCCUGCGCCCACUCACCCACCCAUCCGCUCAUCUAUCCAUCCAACAAGCUGUUUUUAGGCACCUGCUGUGUGCCAAGUCCCUGGGGCUGGAACCCAGAUGUGGGACAAAGGUACAGACCCUAAGCUGAGGCCUGUGGAGAGAGCGGCAGGCCCUAUGGGGCAGGGGUCCUGGCAGGUGUGCUGGGGUCACCCCCAUUGUGCCCACUUGCUGGGCUGGAGCUCAUACAGGCAGGUGGCCCAGCCCAGGCUGCGCACGUCCUCACAGUGAGGUGGUGGCCAGGCUGGCACAGGGCGCUUUCUGCUCAGGAAGGGGGUCCCGCCGGUGGGCGCUGUGUCCUUUCUGCUCUUCCUAGGUGAGGAGUGGACCACAAAGGAGAGCACAGGGUGGCUUCAGCGAGGGUGGCUGGACACUGGGAUGGUCAGCCUGGAGGUCACUUGGCUGCUUCAGCCCCCUGGGCACCCUCCCCCACUCCCACUGGCCCAGGUGCCCUGGGGUCUUCACCCCCACCCCCGCAUACUACAACACUGCUCUCUCCUCUCCCUGGGGCGCUUCACUCCCUGUCUGUGCCCUGGUUGAAGGCUGAACCAUGCCUGGAGCACUGCUCUGGCCAAGAAAUGUUUGUGGAAUAUCUGACCAAAAGGAUGCCACAGCAGCCCUGGAGGUCAGGACCAAGUAGCAUGUUUAUGGUGCAGAUGAGACACUGGGACUCAGAGAGGCCACAGAACUUGCCAAGGGCACUCGGUGGCUGAGGAAGGGGCCGGGUCCCUCCCACUCCAGACUGGCUCUCAUUUGGGUGCAAGGGACCUGUGGUGACGAUGGCUGCACAGGUCUCUGUCCUCAUAUUAACAUCCAGCCUUGCAGAUGGGGUGUCUGUGGUGGGCCUGGCAUGGGCAGACCUCCGAUCUCCCUGGUGCUAACUGCUGAGUUCAUCUCUGGGGUUAGCAGGGUUAACUGCGUCCCCGUCACAACGUCUCAAUGCUCCCACAGCUGUGGGGGCCACAGUGGAGGGGGCCAUCCCUUUCUGAGCCCAAGCAGGGCUCUGGGCAGAAGUCCCAGUGUCUCUCAGUGUCUCUGAUGUCCUUCCUUCCAGGCGGGGGUUUCAGGUCUGCUAGUGGUGGCUCUUCAGACCCUUACUCCGCGUCAGCAGUUCCCGGGACACCAUUGCCACCUCCUACCCUAAGGGUCCCUGCUCCAGGUUCUAUCCCACUGAGGAGAGUCUUCCCUGCAGGAAGCAGGGACCUGAGCUCUCUGCUCCACUCCUGGCCCAGGCAUAAUGCCAGGGCCUGACCUUCAUGGGGCCUUGUGGCUCCUGGCAGGGAUUGAGUAGAUGGGGCUGGGACAGGCAGACGCCUGUGGCCUGUGUGUGUGGCAGGCCCUGUGUGUGGGACCCAUGGGGACAGACAGGCUCUCUGGGGUGAAUUCCCACAUCCUGAAUAGACCCGAGCCUAGACACCAUCAGAGUGCCAUCCGGCACCAUCUCAGGGUUCCCCGAACCCUCUGGGGGCCGUGGAACCACACAGUUGAGCUGUGAUGAUGCCAGAACCCCAACCUUCACCUUGGUUAGCUGCAGGGACCAGCCUCAGACCUGUUCUGGGACGCCUCGCCGUGACUGGGGCUUUCUGGACUCUACUUCUGGCUUCUGUCUACCUUGUCCUGUCCUUCUUCCCAGUGGUGACCGUGUGGGGGAGGGUCCACAGCCCACCCCAACCAGGGAGGGUUUUCUCCCUUCCUCCUUCCUCUCCUGCCAACAGGGAGCGUGGGCCAGCCGAGGAGCCUUUCCGGGGUGGGAGGAACAGCAGCGUGAGUGCAUUUUGGAAAGCAGGAGCCUUCUGCAGGCCGAGGGGCUUGUCCCCGAAGUCCUGGGUCUGCCCUGCACAGCUGCAGAGUUGAGCCCCUGCUUACUAGUGGUUGCUGCACUCAUGAACUGGAGCACCUAGCAGGCUCUGGGCCAGGCUCGGGUCCCCUGGGUGUGCCCACCAGCUGGCUUCUCUGAGCCCUGGCUUUGAGGCCACACGGGGCUGUGGCAGCUGCACUGAGGGAGAAGUGGCUGCUGGAGCCACUGGGGAUUUCACUCCAGCUGCUACAGAAGACCCAUCAGCCAUGUCUCUGCCCAGAGGCCUCUGCCAGCAGGGGGUCCCAGGCUGGGGGAGGUUGACAGCUGCUGCCUGCUGCUCCCCACCCAGGCAGCAGCUCUGAGCCACAGAAAGAGCCGGGCUGGGACUCUGGGAGCCUCCAAAGGACAGGGUGGGUCUCGGGGCCUCAGAGCAGUUCCAGACGGCUGCAGGAGUGGGAGAAGCAGCAGUUUCUCAAGAAGAACGAGAGGGCCUGGACCACAGCCUCCGCUUCCUCUUCUGGAGAAAAGCCGCAGCUGAGCGACGCUGGCUGAUAAUUGUGCAGCCUCUGUGCCUGGAGCCUGCAGCAGAGGCCAGGAGUUUCGAACAGGGACAACGGAUGUAAACUGGGACUCUUCAGGGCACAUCGAGAUGUGUAUUACCCUACUUACUACCACUUCCUAGCUGCGUGGAUUUGGGCAAGUUACAUAACCUCUCUGAAUUCUGGUUUCUGCAUAAAAAAGGCCAACAUCAUGUGCCUGCCUCCCAGGGCUGCGGGAGGGAUGGAAGAAGUGAAUUACCUGAGUUCCCGAAACAGCCCUUGGCACAGUGCCGGUGGGGUGGGGGGCUCUCCAUGCUUGUUCUUUUCCUCUGAGAGUGGUUGGUUCUGUCCCUGGAGGUGAGCAAGGGCCUGCCGGCCAGCGUUCUGCAGUGUGAGGGCCUCAGCAGGGCAUAUGUGCAGCUGCAGAGCCAGAUUCCAGUCCUGCCUGUGCCCUCCAGAAGGGUGACAACCCUGGGAGCCCCUGGAGGCACAGCCUGCGACCCUGAGGGAUAAGCUCCAUCUCCAGAAGGAACGAGUGGAUGAGGUCAGAGCCCAGCAGUGACCUGUCUGUGCUGGGGUCCAUCCCCACCAACAAGGGCAGAGCUGCUGCAGCAGGUGGAACGGACAUGCCUCCUGCCAGAUGCGCUGGCUGGAUCAGCAACUCUCCAAGGUGGCCUCAUGCUGUGGACAUUACCCCAGGUGCCUCAACUUCUGGCUACUUUGUCUCCUUUCCACUCCUCAUCCCCAGAGAAGGUUCUUCUGGCCAGAAGGAUGGCCUCUGAAAAUGUCAGAUCCGGAAGGCAUUCGUGCUAAUGGUGCUCAGCCCUCAGCAAAGUCACCUGGCCAGUCAACCCCAUUAAAUGAGGAGCUAAAAGCCCACAGGCCGCAGUUGGGGCUCACAGACAGCCCAGGAGGCAGGAAGUUGGUGUGCUACCACAAGGGUGGGUCCUCAGGGUGGGUGCAGGGUCCCUCUCAGGAUUGAGUCACCAGGUGGAGGCCACAUGGCUUCCAAUCAACCCCUUCUUCACACCUUUGGCUUUGGCACAGGCAGGGUCUUCCCAGCUAUACCCUCCUAAGUGAGGUCACAGGUAACACCACACAAGGGGCAGGCCGAGGUGUGUGUUUCACGACUUAUGCCACUUCCUCGCUGUGUGGGACCCAAAGGUGACCUAGAGCUGAGAAACCCAUGUCUGCAAAAACAAGGCCACUGGAGUUGAGGCAAGAGAGGCCAAAAUCCUACCUAGGAUGCUGGGGCCAAUCAGCCCAUUAUGGAGCAUCCUGAAAAGCAAGGCCACCACAAUACCAAAGGACUAGAGGAACUGUCACACACGCCACCCAAACAACCUGCCAACCUUUCUCGCUGACCCCAAAUACUGGGAUAUUAUCCAGUGUAAAUUUGUAGGCAAAAGAAUGAACUCACGUGGUUUUAUCAUAUUUGUAUUCAGGGAGAUUGACCAUUUUCACGUAUUUGCAGAGCAUGUGUAUUUCUUUCCUUCUUUUUUUUUUUUUGGGACGGAGUCUCACUCUGUUGCCCAGGCUGGACUGC
This is a non-coding RNA of Macaca mulatta (Rhesus monkey), 4164 nucleotides long. The record is from RefSeq and is a predicted model, not a curated record. Lineage: Eukaryota; Metazoa; Chordata; Mammalia; Primates; Cercopithecidae.